UACAGAGGUGGCGAGCGUUAUUCGGAAUUAUUGGGCGUAAAGGGCGCGUAGGCGGCUAGACAAGUCUCGGGUGAAAUCCCUCGGCUCAACCGAGGAACUGCCCUGGAAACUGUCUGGCUUGAGGCCGGGAGAGGGUAGUGGAAUUCCCAGUGUAGCGGUGAAAUGCGUAGAUACUGGGAGGAACACCGGUGGCGAAGGCAGCCCCCUGGGUCAAGAUUGACGCUCAUGCACGAAAGCGUGGGGAGCAAACAGG
Molecule: ribosomal RNA, 253 nt
Filed under: uncultured prokaryote
Description: partial 16S ribosomal RNA
Rfam family: Bacterial small subunit ribosomal RNA
Source: RNAcentral